This 306-nucleotide ribosomal RNA is filed under the name Chloroflexota bacterium. Its description in RNAcentral is "Chloroflexi bacterium (groundwater metagenome) partial 23S ribosomal RNA". It matches the Rfam family "Bacterial large subunit ribosomal RNA", at positions 2624 to 2925 of the family's 2925-position model. The record is from RNAcentral. Lineage: Bacteria; Bacillati; Chloroflexota.
AGACAGGUCGGUCUCUAUCCUUUGUGGGCGCAGGAGAUUUGAGAGGAGCUCUCCCUAGUACGAGAGGACCGGGAGGGGUAGACCGCUGGUGUGCCAGCUGUUCCGCCAGGGGCAGGCUGGGUAGCUAUGUCUAUUAGGGAUAAGCGCUGAAAGCAUCUAAGCGCGAAGCUCGCCUCAAGAUUAGAUCUCCCAUCCCGUCGCGAGACUGGGGGUAAGACCGCAAGAAGACUACUUGUAGAUAGGCGGCGUGUGUACGCAUCGUGAGAUGCUUAGCUGAGCCGUACUAAUGGUCGAGGCUUUGACCCA